RNAcentral lists this non-coding RNA (48 nucleotides) under Schistosoma margrebowiei. The record is from RNAcentral. Lineage: Eukaryota; Metazoa; Platyhelminthes; Trematoda; Strigeidida; Schistosomatidae.
AUCUGACUGACGAGUCCGAAAUAGAACUAAACGCGCGUCGGACUGUAU